This 669-nucleotide long non-coding RNA is filed under the name Anas platyrhynchos platyrhynchos (common mallard). Its description in RNAcentral is "lncRNA (ENSAPLG00000018681.1)". The record is from RNAcentral. Lineage: Eukaryota; Metazoa; Chordata; Aves; Anseriformes; Anatidae.
CCAUCACAAAACAUGCCGUCCUCCAAAUGUGUUAGAGAACAGCUUCUGGGCAAGAGGGAAGGGGGACAUGUAAGAGAUCACAUUGUGAUCUGAAACAAUGUGUUUUUCUUGAAGGAAGUUCAGUAAUUGUUCAGAAUCACCAACUGGUUAAGUUGUAAAAUGAGUGGAUGAAACAAUGGAAUGAAGACAGGUGGUGUUUUUUGAUGCAUAAACCUGUGUCCUGUCUUCAGUCCUGUGGCAACGGCAAAAAUUGAAUUUUUUUUUUUCUCCAGCUGUCUUCAGGGUUUCACUAUUGUUUUGUCCUUACAGAUCAUCUUUCAUUUGGAGGAAGGAGAAGUUUCACAGCUGUGAGGAAACAGUUACAGAGACAAGACUUGCUGAAAUGAAAACGAACUAAUUAUCAUGGAACAUGAUUUUUCUACAAGUUAUUUGGGUGCGAGAGUUAACCAGCUAUUGGCUUUAGGGCCUCUGGUUCUUGCAGCUUUCUGACAGUGUUUUGUGGAGCAAAUGGAUAACCUGUCCUGAAGCCACUUCAGAUGAGUGAUGGUGGCAGGUUGCUGAUCACUUCAGACCAGAACCUUUGGUCAGCAAGGAGCUUCCUUUCCCCAAAGGAUGAAUUCCUGUCAACGCGGUGGUUCUUUGACAUUCUGCUGUGAAGAUGGAAGAAAU